AACAUUAAUACAUUGUUGUACUUUGUUCUACCUCCAGUAUUGGUAUCUGAAACUAAAGCACUUUUAAGGAUCUU
Molecule: long non-coding RNA, 74 nt
Organism: Etheostoma spectabile (orangethroat darter)
Lineage: Eukaryota; Metazoa; Chordata; Actinopteri; Perciformes; Percidae
Exons: 3
Source: RefSeq, a predicted model, not a curated record